AUUGAACGCUGGCGGCAGGCCUAACACAUGCAAGUCGAACGGUAACAGGAAGAAGCUUGCUUCUUUGCUGACGAGUGGCGGACGGGUGAGUAAUGUCUGGGAAACUGCCUGAUGGAGGGGGAUAACUACUGGAAACGGUAGCUAAUACCGCAUAACGUCGCAAGACCAAAGAGGGGGACCUUCGGGCCUCUUGCCAUCGGAUGUGCCCAGAUGGGAUUAGCUAGUAGGUGGGGUAACGGCUCACCUAGGCGACGAUCCCUAGCUGGUCUGAGAGGAUGACCAGUCACACUGGAACUGAGACACGGUCCAGACUCCUACGGGAGGCAGCAGUGGGGAAUAUUGCACAAUGGGCGCAAGCCUGAUGCAGCCAUGCCGCGUGUAUGAAGAAGGCCUUCGGGUUGUAAAGUACUUUCAGCGGGGAGGAAGGGAGUAAAGUUAAUACCUUUGCUCAUUGACGUUACCCGCAGAAGAAGCACCGGCUAACUCCGUG
RNAcentral lists this ribosomal RNA (490 nucleotides) under uncultured bacterium. RNAcentral describes it as "partial 16S ribosomal RNA". It matches the Rfam family "Bacterial small subunit ribosomal RNA", at positions 30 to 507 of the family's 1533-position model. The record is from RNAcentral.